This 1491-nucleotide ribosomal RNA is filed under the name uncultured bacterium. Its description in RNAcentral is "bacterial SSU rRNA". It matches the Rfam family "Bacterial small subunit ribosomal RNA". The record is from RNAcentral.
GACGAACGCUGGCGGCGUGCUUAACACAUGCAAGUCGAACGGACUUUAAUUUGGAGCUUGCUUCAAAUUGAAGUUAGUGGCGGACGGGUGAGUAACGCGUGGGCAACCUACCCUUAAGACCGGGACAACAGUUGGAAACGACUGCUAAUACCGGAUGAGCUUGCCGAGGGACAUCCCUUGGUAAGGAAAGAUGGCCUCUGAAUAUGCUAUCGUUUAAGGAUGGGCCCGCGUCUGAUUAGCUAGUUGGUAAGGUAACGGCUUACCAGGGCUUCGAUCAGUAGCCGGCCUGAGAGGGUGAUCGGCCACACUGGGACUGAGACACGGCCCAGACUCCUACGGGAGGCAGCGGUGGGGAAUCUUCCGCAAUGGGCGAAAGCCUGACGGAGCAACGCCGCGUGAAUGAUGAAGGCCUUCGGGUCGUAAAGUUCUGUCUUAUGGGACGAAUGUGCAGUAUGUGAAUAAUGUAUUGUAAUGACGGUACUAUAGGAGGAAGCCCCGGCUAACUACGUGCCAGCAGCCGCGGUAAUACGUAGGGGGCGAGCGUUGUCCGGAAUUACUGGGCGUAAAGGGCGUGUAGGUGGGUAAUUAAGUCAUGGGUGAAAACUGCGAGCUCAACUUGCAGACUGCCUAUGAAACUGGAUAUCUUGAGGGCAGGAGAGGAAAGUGGAAUUCCUAGUGUAGCGGUGAAAUGCGUAGAUAUUAGGAGGAACACCAGUGGCGAAGGCGACUUUCUGGACUGUCCCUGACACUGAGGCGCGAAAGCUAGGGGAGCGAACGGGAUUAGAUACCCCGGUAGUCCUAGCCGUAAACGAUGGGUACUAGGUGCGGGAGGUAUCGACCCCUUCCGUGCCAGAGUUAACACAUUAAGUACCCCGCCUGGGGAGUACGGCCGCAAGGUUGAAACUCAAAGGAAUUGAGGGGGCCCGCACAAGCGGUGGAGCAUGUGGUUUAAUUCGACGCAACGCGAAGAACCUUACCAGGGCUUGACAUCCUACGAACCUGGUGGGAACACUGGGGUGCCCCUUUCGGGGGGAAUGUAGAGACAGGUGGUGCACGGUUGUCGUCAGCUCGUGUCGUGAGAUGUUGGGUUAAGUCCCGCAACGAGCGCAACCCUUACUUUUAGUUGCCAGCGAGUAAUGUCGGGCACUCUAAAGGAACUGCCGGUGACAAACCGGAGGAAGGUGGGGAUGACGUCAAAUCAUCAUGCCCCUUAUGUCCUGGGCUACACACGUGCUACAAUGGACGGUACAGACGGAAGCGAGACCGCGAGGUGGAGCAAAUCCGAGAAAGCCGUUCACAGUUCGGAUUGUAGGCUGCAACUCGCCUACAUGAAGUCGGAAUCGCUAGUAAUCGCAGGUCAGCAUACUGCGGUGAAUACGUUCCCGGGCCUUGUACACACCGCCCGUCACACCACGAAAGUUGACAACACCCGAAGUCGAUGAGCUAACCGUAAGGAGGCAGUCGCCUAAGGUGGGGUUGAUGAUUGGGGUG